CGGGGCGUAGCGCAGUUGGAAGCGUGUCUGCAUGGGGCGCAGAAGGUCGCUGGUUCAAGUCCAGUUGCCCCGACCA
RNAcentral lists this transfer RNA (76 nucleotides) under Mesotoga sp. RNAcentral's name for it is "tRNA-Pro". It matches the Rfam family "tRNA". Rfam says of the family: Transfer RNA (tRNA) molecules are approximately 80 nucleotides in length. Their secondary structure includes four short double-helical elements and three loops (D, anti-codon, and T loops). Further hydrogen bonds mediate the characteristic L-shaped molecular structure. tRNAs have two regions of fundamental functional importance: the anti-codon, which is responsible for specific mRNA codon recognition, and the 3' end, to which the tRNAs corresponding amino acid is attached (by aminoacyl-tRNA synthetases). tRNAs cope with the degeneracy of the genetic code in two manners: having more than one tRNA (with a specific anti-codon) for a particular amino acid; and 'wobble' base-pairing, i.e. permitting non-standard base-pairing at the 3rd anti-codon position. The record is from RNAcentral. Lineage: Bacteria; Thermotogati; Thermotogota; Thermotogae; Kosmotogales; Kosmotogaceae.